Molecule: unclassified non-coding RNA, 340 nt
Organism: Erinaceus europaeus (western European hedgehog)
Lineage: Eukaryota; Metazoa; Chordata; Mammalia; Eulipotyphla; Erinaceidae
Gene: 7SK
Rfam family: 7SK RNA
About the family: 7SK was discovered as an abundant small nuclear RNA in the mid-70s but a possible function has only recently been suggested. Two independent studies have found that 7SK RNA binds the CDK9/cyclin T complex (known as elongation factor P-TEFb).
Source: Ensembl
GGAUGUGAGGGCAAUCUGGCUGUGACAUCUGUCACCCCAUUGAUCACCAGGGUUGAUUCAUCUGAUCUGUCUGGCUAGACAGGUGUUCUCUUUUUCAAAAUCUCACUGCUCCAUGUGUGUUCCUCCUGCCCCUCUGAAAUCUGUGAGGUCAACCUAAGAGGGUGAACUUCUCUGAACAAAGACUACCCUCUUCAACCAAGGGUAUAAAAGUAGCUGCUCUCCUCAGCUAGAACUUCUAAACAAGUUCUCAUAUUUAUACCACAUGACAUUUAUAAAUGCCUCCAUGCCAUAGACCUUCCAGAUUAUCCCCCAUUUAUAAUCAAAACAGCUGUUUAAUCUG